CAUUUGAUAAAUGAUUUGGUACAUAUAACAUUUCCCCAUUCAUUCACACCAACUCUUUCACUAUGUAGGAAAAUAUGGUUCAUAAUUUCCACUAUUCCUCAAACGAUAAGAUUGAACAUUCGUCCUCUCUCCCAUUCCAUUUUUAAAAAAAAAAUACUCGACAGAAGAAAAAAGUAUACAAUAUCAAAUAUGUAAUGGGAAAAGUGUACUGAGUAGGUGUUCAUAAGUGGUGGAAUGUGGUAGGUAGGUGAACCUUGUGCUUAUAUCUUUGUGGGUUCUCUUCCUACUUGGGUAAUAGGAGUGAAUAUGAGUUAUCUUGGUGUUGGAACUAGUAUUAAUAAUGUUCAUGGAAGUAAUUUGAAGGUAAUUGAUAAGAGAGUUAGGGUUGCAGAGCUGAGUUUAAGGUGUUUGGUAUGUGGUCUAGCCAUUCUUGCUGCCGUUCUUAUUGGAACCGACUCUCAGGUUAAAGUGGGGAAAUACAUCCAAACAGC
This 491-nucleotide long non-coding RNA is filed under the name Olea europaea subsp. europaea. The record is from RNAcentral. Lineage: Eukaryota; Viridiplantae; Streptophyta; Magnoliopsida; Lamiales; Oleaceae.